UAGGGAAUCUUCGGCAAUGGACGAAAGUCUGACCGAGCAACGCCGCGUGAGUGAAGAAGGUUUUCGGAUCGUAAAACUCUGUUGUUAGAGAAGAACGUUGGUGAGAGUGGAAAGCUCAUCAAGUGACGGUAACUACCCAGAAAGGGACGGCUAACUACGUGCCA
This 164-nucleotide ribosomal RNA is filed under the name uncultured bacterium. RNAcentral's name for it is "partial 16S rRNA". It matches the Rfam family "Bacterial small subunit ribosomal RNA", at positions 355 to 510 of the family's 1533-position model. The record is from RNAcentral.